GGGCUAGCCUCAAGUGAUGAUUAUUGGAGGUAGAGCACUGUUUGGACGAGGGGCCCCUCUCGGGUUACCGAAUUCAGACAAACUCCGAAUGCCAAUUAAUUUAACUUGGGAGUCAGAACAUGGGUGAUAAGGUCCGUGUUCGAAAGGGAAACAGCCCAGACCACCAGCUAAGGUCCCAAAAUAUAUGUUAAGUGGAAAAGGAUGUGGCGUUGCCCAGACAACUAGGAUGUUGGCUUAGAAGCAGCCAUCAUUUAAAGAGUGCGUAAUAGCUCACUAGUCGAGUGACACUGCGCCGAAAAUGUACCGGGGCUAAACAUAUUACCGAAGCUGUGGAUUGUCCUUUGGACAAUGGUAGGAGAGCGUUCUAAGGGCGUUGAAGCAUGAUCGUAAGGACAUGUGGAGCGCUUAGAAGUGAGAAUGCCGGUGUGAGUAGCGAAAGACGGGUGAGAAUCCCGUCCACCGAUUGACUAAGGUUUCCAGAGGAAGGCUCGUCCGCUCUGGGUUAGUCGGGUCCUAAGCUGAGGCCGACAGGCGUAGGCGAUGGAUAACAGGUUGAUAUUCCUGUACCACCUAUAAUCGUUUUAAUCGAUGGGGGGACGCAGUAGGAUAGGCGAAGCGUGCGAUUGGAUUGCACGUCUAAGCAGUAAGGCUGAGUAUUAGGCAAAUCCGGUACUCAUUAAGGCUGAGCUGUGAUGGGGAGAAGACAUUGUGUCUUCGAGUCGUUGAUUUCACACUGCCGAGAAAAGCCUCUAGAUAGAAAAUAGGUGCCCGUACCGCAAACCGACACAGGUAGUCAAGAUGAGAAUUCUAAGGUGAGCGAGCGAACUCUCGUUAAGGAACUCGGCAAAAUGACCCCGUAACUUCGGGAGAAGGGGUGCUCUUUAGGGUUAACGCCCAGAAGAGCCGCAGUGAAUAGGCCCAAGCGACUGUUUAUCAAAAACACAGGUCUCUGCUAAACCGUAAGGUGAUGUAUAGGGGCUGACGCCUGCCCGGUGCUGGAAGGUUAAGAGGAGUGGUUAGCUUCUGCGAAGCUACGAAUCGAAGCCCCAGUAAACGGCGGCCGUAACUAUAACGGUCCUAAGGUAGCGAAAUUCCUUGUCGGGUAAGUUCCGACCCGCACGAAAGGCGUAACGAUUUGGGCACUGUCUCAACGAGAGACUCGGUGAAAUCAUAGUACCUGUGAAGAUGCAGGUUACCCGCGACAGGACGGAAAGACCCCGUGGAGCUUUACUGUAGCCUGAUAUUGAAAUUCGGCACAGCUUGUACAGGAUAGGUAGGAGCCUUUGAAACGUGAGCGCUAGCUUACGUGGAGGCGCUGGUGGGAUACUACCCUAGCUGUGUUGGCUUUCUAACCCGCACCACUUAUCGUGGUGGGAGACAGUGUCAGGCGGGCAGUUUGACUGGGGCGGUCGCCUCCUAAAAGGUAACGGAGGCGCUCAAAGGUUCCCUCAGAAUGGUUGGAAAUCAUUCAUAGAGUGUAAAGGCAUAAGGGAGCUUGACUGCGAGACCUACAAGUCGAGCAGGGUCGAAAGACGGACUUAGUGAUCCGGUGGUUCCGCAUGGAAGGGCCAUCGCUCAACGGAUAAAAGCUACCCCGGGGAUAACAGGCUUAUCUCCCCCAAGAGUUCACAUCGACGGGGAGGUUUGGCACCUCGAUGUCGGCUCAUCGCAUCCUGGGGCUGUAGUCGGUCCCAAGGGUUGGGCUGUUCGCCCAUUAAAGCGGUACGCGAGCUGGGUUCAGAACGUCGUGAGACAGUUCGGUCCCUAUCCGUCGUGGGCGUAGGAAAUUUGAGAGGAGCUGUCCUUAGUACGAGAGGACCGGGAUGGACAUACCUCUGGUGUACCAGUUGUCGUGCCAACGGCAUAGCUGGGUAGCUAUGUGUGGACGGGAUAAGUGCUGAAAGCAUCUAAGCAUGAAGCCCCCCUCAAGAUGAGAUUUCCCAACUUCGGUUAUAAGAUCCCUCAAAGAUGAUGAGGUUAAUAGGUUCGAGGUGGAAGCAUGGUGACAUGUGGAGCUGACGAAUACUAA
RNAcentral lists this ribosomal RNA (2029 nucleotides) under Staphylococcus aureus. Its description in RNAcentral is "partial 23S ribosomal RNA". It matches the Rfam family "Bacterial large subunit ribosomal RNA", at positions 873 to 2904 of the family's 2925-position model. Lineage: Bacteria; Bacillati; Bacillota; Bacilli; Caryophanales; Staphylococcaceae. The record is from RNAcentral.